AUCACUUGCUCUGCUAUGCCCAUAAGUGAAACCCUCACUUAUGAGGGCUUUGCUCGGGUGGCCAAAUCUUGUCAAAGCCCUCUUCAAGACUUGGCCACUGGCAUUGCUCGUUGCUUGGCUUGCCAUUGGGACGAGCCUCGAAUUCUUGGCCCAUAGUAGUCUGUGCUUUUAAGAAAGCAGUGCAAAUUUCUCAUACUUGGUUGCUCUGUGUGCCCCCUUUUCGUCGAGUGCCCCACCCGGUUCAUUAGGCUGUUGACCUACCAAGCACUUGCCCUCAACUCCUGCCAGCCGCUUUGCGGGUGGAGCAGCAUUUUUACGACUACAAACCUAACAGGUAUGUAGUUAUGGCACUGGACUUAGUAGGUCUAUACAAGUGCAGCUAGAAGCACCAAAAUGCUACAACGGUGCACUGUUAUGGACCUAACAAAUCCCUAGCAGUUUUUGAGAGCACCAAAAUGCUAUAGGAGGUUCGAUGCUAUGGAAAACGUUGUGGAUAUGUUGGAUAUAUAGUGCGUGAAAGUGCUACAGACCCAACAAAUCCAUAACGAGUUGAAGUAUAAAAUAAGAGAAGAUAAAAUAAAAGGAAAAAGUUUAUAUAAGGGUGAGGCCCUUAACUAUCAAAUUAAGGCACAACUCAAAAAUUCACUAGCAGAGCUUGUUUUGAAGUUGAAAAGCUUUCAAUUUGAUUAUCUCGGCCUCAAGAUGUAUCGAUAUGAAAAAAAACAUAAUUCAAUUAUUGAAAAUAGUGUCUCAUGUAAUGUGUUGUCUAGACCAUCAAUUUUUAAGAUUAUCAAAUGUUCAUAGAUCUUCUCGAUCUAUACUAUUUUGAAUAUGUAAAUUUUAUAAUUAGAUAGGAAAAUAAUUUUUUUAGGCGAUCAUAAAAAUUUCUGAUACUAAAACAACAUAUUUUGAUACUAUUUAAAGGGAUGCCUUACUUCGAUUGUUUAGGGUCUCGGCCUUAUACAAACCACACCAAAAAAAAACAAAAGGUAUAUGUGUAAUAUAUAAAAAAUUUAGGUUUUUAAAAUUUUCAAAAGCAAAUGUUAGUGAUAAUUUUCCUUGAAAUAUUUUAAAAAAUAGCUGUCUAGGGAAAAUGAGGUGGUGUGGAUGUGGAUUAGGAAAGUGACCACUCUAGAGGCCCACAUUUGAGUAACCAUCUGGCACCAACAUGCUUGGUCUGUUUCACAGUAUGUAAUAGCCCUAUCAGUCACUAGGGCUUCAGCACAUUUUUUGUGACACUGGUCUCCUUGAGUCCUUUCUAUAUAUUUUUUGUAUUUUGUGAUUCAUAGAGAUAAAAAUCCAAGAUUUAUGCUUUGUUUGAGUGGCCGGUCCAAGGAAGAGAUGGCACGUAUGGGUAGGAGGAUCAUGACCGUCCAUUUAGUGAUUUAUCCACUUUAUGAGAACAAUGCGAUUUGAUUGAUUCCACGUGUGCCUAUGGGAAUCCAAAGACCCCAAGAAAAGAAGUAGAAAAGGGAAAAGCAAUUCCUGGGAAAUGGAAAAGAUAGCAUUAUUUUUACUUUGAAUGGUAAUUUCAACUUAAUGAAAAGAAUAGGAGUUUUUUUUGGGGGGUAAAGAAGUAGGAGGAACUGGCAAAACAAAGUAAAAUGGCCGAGAAUCUAUUUCUAUAUUUCAAUCACCCUAUAUGUAUACAUAUGGAAAGAGGAAAACAUAAAUUUUCUAGAUGGUCGUAAAAUGACGAGACAAACUUAUUUGAAAAUUUAAGGGAAAUCUACCAUGAAGUAUCAAGCACUCAAGAGAGGAGUAAUUUAACAAUUUAUCCACUUUUAAAUUUGUUUAAAAAAUUCUAUAGAAGGACAUCAAUAUGAAUUAUAACACUUCAAGAUUUUAGGAGUAUUUUGAUAAAUUGUAAAAUGUUUAAUUUUUUAUACAUCAGAAGUAUGUUUUAUAAAGGAUGGAGUUUCUAUAAGGCCUAGGCCAAAUGAAGAAAAGUAAAGCGUCACCUCCAAAAUCUUAUCUAAAAAACACUUCGGGCAUGACAAACUCUCAAGAUGGUUCUAAAAUAUAUUUCCACCACCGAUUAAAGUCAUACAUCAAAAAUGGUAUGGAUCAUGUGGAUCUGUGAACACUUGAAAAUGGACGGGCUACAUAAUGCACUACCAUGUACACUAUUUUUAGGGUUUGAGGUCCUAAUUUUUCUUCAUAAUCAUAAUGAUCAUAGUCAAGAUGAUUGAUUGGAAGGUUUUCCAAAGCCAGAACUAUAAUCUUGGGUGAGAUUUGAGGUGAGCCUUUAUUUUAUUUUAUUUUAAGCCUUGACCUUAUUUUAACAUUUUCCUUUGAUAAAACCAUCAAGUAUAAUAAGCUUUUCUAACCUUUGACUGGCCUCAAAAUCGAUGGCCUUAGUUAAUUUUAUUUAAAAUUUAUUAUCUAUUUUUUAUAGUAAUUUUUUUAGUUGCAAAUAUUGUUCUUGUGGUUGAACAUGCAUGUUACUGUCUGAAUUCUAAUAUUUUUCUAUAAAUCAGAUUAAAAUAAAAUUUUGGAUAUGUGUCAUACAUAGUGGGUCACAUAAAAAAAUACAUAUACGUAACACCUGGAAAAUAAUGAGGG
Molecule: long non-coding RNA, 2565 nt
Filed under: Amborella trichopoda
Lineage: Eukaryota; Viridiplantae; Streptophyta; Magnoliopsida; Amborellales; Amborellaceae
Description: long non-coding RNA (ATRI_LNC001461)
Source: RNAcentral